GUGCCAGCCGCCGCGGUAAGACAGAGGAGCCAAGCGUUGUCCGGAUUGACUGGGCGUAAAGCGCACGCAGGCGGGUGCGCGCGUGGGGUGUGAAACCUGGCCGCUUAACGGCCAGCGGCCAUCCCAUACGGCGCGCCUGGAGCCUUGCAGAGGGCGGUGGAAUUGCCGGUGUAGUGGUGAAAUGCGUAGAGAUCGGCAGGAACACCCAGGGAGAAAUCAGCCGCCUGGGCAAGUGCUGACGCUGAGGUGCGAAAGCGUGGGGAGCGAACCGGAUUAGAAACCCUCGUAGUCC
This 292-nucleotide ribosomal RNA is filed under the name uncultured bacterium. RNAcentral describes it as "partial 16S ribosomal RNA". It matches the Rfam family "Bacterial small subunit ribosomal RNA", at positions 505 to 796 of the family's 1533-position model. The record is from RNAcentral.